UGGGCUGCUCGUGCUGUUGGUUUUGUGAGGUAGCCUGGGAGCCACCACUGCGGCCUUUUUGGGGCUGUUGGAGCCGCAUCUUAGCGUUGGAUCUUACUUAGCUCCAUCUGUGGGAUGAGCACCCUUUUGGCAGAGAGCGCAGCCCUUCACAGCCAUUUGGUGAAAGCAGUUUAGGUACCAGUAUCGCUUCCCUCAGAGCAAAGCAAGUAAAGCUUAAAAAAAAAGCCUGUUUGGAAAAGGUUUAAGUAAGGUGGGCUAGUACAGCUGAGUCCCAGUAUAUAUUGAGCACAGCACCAUAAAGGCCAUGGUUUAAAGGCCGUGUUGUGUUUUGGACUGGCCCAGGACUGCAGUAGAGUCUGAACGGGAAGCACGGCCUCACUUUUGCAUGGUCCCUGGUUGCUUUGCUGUGUGCUGCCAAUGAGUGAUAUUGGUUCCUGUCGGGAAACAGAGGUGGGCUGUAAAAAGAUUAAACUGAGUUUGGAGACAGGAAUAGGGAACUGCCUUCCUGGCUGAGUGGUUAGGCUCUGCAGUUAAUUUAGGAGGGCUCAGUCUGUUCUGAGACUUUUCAGGAGUUUCUUGUGGAGAUUGAUCUGGAGGACUAAGAAAGUGGAGCCAGUGGCACUAUAUUGACUCCACUGAUACUAUCCUCCUACAUUAAAUGGUGAAAGAACAAGGCCUGCCUGUGAGAUAAAAGUCAGGACCUACUUGAUCUACCUACAACGUUUAAUGGCAGUGAGAAAGAGCAAGUUAAAAGACAUGUGUUUCUGUAGUAAAAGGUUGGGUGUGUUUGUUUUAAAUCUACAUUAAAUUGUAUUUCAGGGCUAUUGUGUUGUCUCUUGUAUUUCUGCUUUUGGCAUGUCUCACCUGUGUAAUUGCUCACAGGCCCUUUGUUCCCGGCUCCAGCACUGGGUGAGGAGGGACACUGGACAUGCCUUCGAUUACGAUAGUUCUGUCGCAGCCUUAGCUGUCCUGUGCUGUGCCUGGUGAUGACCAUGGGGUCAUUCUCCUGAGCAGACUGCUCUGUACUCAGCCACCCGGCCUACAUUCUCCAAUUCUCUAGAUUCACCAAGCUGGCAGCAUAACAGUGGAGCUGUUUGGUACCUGUGGAGUCCCACUGCAGGGGUGUCUGAGCACCUCGCAUUUGGCUCAGAAAAGCUGCCCUUGCACAGUCCACCAAGAGGGUUGUGAAGUCCUGGGGACUUGCCAGUUCAGUUCACUAGUUGUAAAGUAUUUUGCCACGUUACAGCUAUGGUUUAAACACUUGAGAGGAAAGCUGGUGGUGGGGAGAGGAAUUAUGGGUUCACCAGCAGCGUUUGUGCAUUAGAGGCUCUGUUUGGAGGUUCAGAUGUCCUCAUACAUCUGCUGUGAUACCUGUGUGUUACACACUUUCAGGUAUCUACUUGAAAAUAAGAGUGGGGCUCAGUUCUUGGCUGAUACGGGUAAAACAUGUUCCAGUGGGGAGAAGUUGGACCCAGAGUCAAGGAGUACAUUUAAAGAAUGAUGCUUUCUCACCACUUCAAUCCCCUGCACAGGAGCUGUACCCUAGAGCUGCUCUUCCCUGGGGUGGCCAUGCCAGCAUCAGCAGGGCAACACUUGGCCACAAGCUGCUCUGCUCACUGGCAGACAAAGCAACUGAAAGUCUCUGGCCUGCUUACAGCAGGUCUGACAAAGCAUAGCAACCUUUUCUGCCCUGAAAAUAUAAAUCCUGGUAGGUUAAGAAAUGAACCUGUACUGCUAUAGCUCACUGUUGCUAAACCCAUCUUCUGAGGGUUUUGAAAUAGAUAUUUAUGAGCAGAUGGUACUAAUCACUGCUGUAGUGAUAUACUCAGCUCCUGGUUUUGUGGUUUCUAAACGCCAGUUUUGGCAAGACUUUUUAAAAGCUAUUUGAGAAAGAAAGACAAUCUCUUGACACACAUCUCUGUGUAAAAUUUCUUUAGUUUUGCCAAUGGCAGUUGUUUGUAGAGACCCUGCAUAUUGUAGAGGCCACUGCUUGCUCCUGGCCAUUCACUAGAAUGGAAACUUGAACCAAUGAUAUUUAUAAUGAAUGUGCAAUAAAUCUGUGGAAAAGCUGCUUUG
This is a non-coding RNA of Sturnus vulgaris (Common starling), 2076 nucleotides long. The record is from RefSeq and is a predicted model, not a curated record. Lineage: Eukaryota; Metazoa; Chordata; Aves; Passeriformes; Sturnidae.